CAAAUUGAGGGUACCUACUUUGCCACAGAAGCGGCCCUGGCAAGGAGUUUCAACUGACAGAACUCAGCUAGCAAAAGAAGAUAAACAGAGAAGUAAGACUGCCUGUUGCUGGUGUCAUUGGCAAACCAAGAUCUUGCUGCUCAACUGUUACGUGCUCAACAGAACCUUUUAUGAACUAAGGUGUUUCUCUUUAAAGAUGGGUAUUUGCUAUAUGGAAGUGGAGAACACAUGCAUUUACCUGGCUACUCAGCCUGUACAGAAAGAGAUUACAGUGACUAAGAGCAGCAGGGCCUAAGGAACUGCUGAGGCAGUUAAUCAACAUGACUGCACUUUCCCAGAACACGGAGAAAACAUCCAAGUUUUGCUACAAUGGACUUUAAGAUCUUACAUACACCUCGGAGUCUGGAGCUAUGGCAUUCCUCCAAAAUAGUUCACAGUUUUUGCAGUUGAAACGUUACUGCAAAAUGGCACUAAAGUGCAUAAGUAAGUAUCUGAAUGUUUGCUGGGCUAAAAGGUGCUGUGCAAGCUUAAGUUACUGCUUUGCCAUUAUAUACAAG
Molecule: long non-coding RNA, 557 nt
Filed under: Gallus gallus (chicken)
Lineage: Eukaryota; Metazoa; Chordata; Aves; Galliformes; Phasianidae
Description: long non-coding RNA NONGGAT008575
Source: RNAcentral